This 306-nucleotide ribosomal RNA is filed under the name uncultured bacterium. RNAcentral describes it as "bacterial SSU rRNA". It matches the Rfam family "Bacterial small subunit ribosomal RNA", at positions 30 to 335 of the family's 1533-position model. The record is from RNAcentral.
AUUGAACGCUGGCGGCAGGCCUAACACAUGCAAGUCGAGCGGAUGAGUGGAGCUUGCUCCAUGAUUCAGCGGCGGACGGGUGAGUAAUGCCUAGGAAUCUGCCUGGUAGUGGGGGACAACGUUUCGAAAGGAACGCUAAUACCGCAUACGUCCUACGGGAGAAAGCAGGGGACCUUCGGGCCUUGCGCUAUCAGAUGAGCCUAGGUCGGAUUAGCUAGUAGGUGAGGUAAUGGCUCACCUAGGCGACGAUCCGUAACUGGUCUGACGAGGAUGAUCAGUCACACUGGAACUGAGACACGGUCCAGG